AGGAGCCGUGUGCGUUAAUUGCGCCAGCACGGUUCUGUGAGGGGGGUAUGCCGCGAGGCAUACCUUCUACUCGAC
Molecule: non-coding RNA, 75 nt
Filed under: Moorella thermoacetica ATCC 39073
Lineage: Bacteria; Bacillati; Bacillota; Clostridia; Neomoorellales; Neomoorellaceae
Source: RNAcentral